RNAcentral lists this ribosomal RNA (247 nucleotides) under uncultured archaeon. RNAcentral's name for it is "partial 16S ribosomal RNA". It matches the Rfam family "Archaeal small subunit ribosomal RNA", at positions 691 to 937 of the family's 1478-position model. The record is from RNAcentral.
CCGACGGUGAGAGGCGAAAGCUGGGGGAGCAAACCGGAUUAGAUACCCGGGUAGUCCCAGCUGUAAACGAUGCGCGUUAGGUGCGUCAGUGACCACGUGUCACUGAUGUGCCGAAGGGAAACCGUGAAACGCGCCGCCUGGGGAGUACGGUCGCAAGGCUGAAACUUAAAGGAAUUGGCGGGGGAGCAACACAACGGGUGGAGCCUGCGGUUUAAUCGGACUCAACGCCGGAAAUCUCACCGGAUAA